AUUGAACGCUGGCGGCAUGCUUUACACAUGCAAGUCGGACGGCAGCACAGAGAAGCUUGCUUCUUGGGUGGCGAGUGGCGAACGGGUGAGUAAUAUAUCGGAACGUACCGAGUAAUGGGGGAUAACUAAUCGAAAGAUUAGCUAAUACCGCAUAUUCUCUGAGGAGGAAAGCAGGGGACCUUCGGGCCUUGCGUUAUUCGAGCGGCCGAUAUCUGAUUAGCUAGUUGGUGGGGUAAAGGCCUACCAAGGCGACGAUCAGUAGCGGGUCUGAGAGGAUGAUCCGCCACACUGGGACUGAGACACGGCCCAGACUCCUACGGGAGGCAGCAGUGGGGAAUUUUGGACAAUGGGCGCAAGCCUGAUCCAGCCAUGCCGCGUGUCUGAAGAAGGCCUUCGGGUUGUAAAGGACUUUUGUCGGGGAAGAAAAGGCUGUUGCUAAUAUCGACAGCUGAUGACGGUACCUGAAGAAUAAGCACCGGCUAACUACGU
Molecule: ribosomal RNA, 489 nt
Filed under: uncultured bacterium
Lineage: Bacteria
Description: partial 16S ribosomal RNA
Rfam family: Bacterial small subunit ribosomal RNA
Source: RNAcentral